Molecule: ribosomal RNA, 411 nt
Filed under: uncultured bacterium
Lineage: Bacteria
Description: bacterial SSU rRNA
Rfam family: Bacterial small subunit ribosomal RNA
Source: RNAcentral
GAACGAGAAAGUGGAGCAAUCCAUGAGUAAAGUGGCGACCGGGUGAGUAACACGUGACUAACCUACCCUUGAGUGGGGGAUAACCUCGGGAAACCGGGGCUAAUACCGCAUAACAUCGCAAGAUCAAAGGAGCAGUCCGCUGAAGGAGGGGGUCGCGGCUGAUUAGCUAGUUGGUGAGGUAACGGCUCACCAAGGCGAAGAUCAGUAGCCGGCCUGAGAGGGCGCACGGCCACACUGGAACUGAAACACGGUCCAGACUCCUACGGGAGGCAGCAGUGGGGAAUUUUGCGCAAUGGGGGAAACCCUGACGCAGCAACGCCGCGUGGAGGAUGAAGUCCCUUGGGAUGUAAACUCCUUUCGAUCGGGACGAUGAUGACGGUACCAGAAGAAGAAGCACCGGCUAACUCUGUG